RNAcentral lists this ribosomal RNA (482 nucleotides) under uncultured bacterium. RNAcentral describes it as "bacterial SSU rRNA". It matches the Rfam family "Bacterial small subunit ribosomal RNA", at positions 96 to 562 of the family's 1533-position model. The record is from RNAcentral.
UGGCGGACGGGUGAGUAACACGUGGGUAACCUGCCCUUCAGCGGGGGAUAACAUCCGGAAACGGGUGCUAAUACCGCAUAGUUUCUUUUUCCGCCUGGAAGAAGAAGGAAAGAUGGCCUUUGUGCUAUCACUGAGGGAUGGACCCGCGGCGUAUUAGUUAGUUGGUGGGGUAAUGGCCUACCAAGACGAUGAUACGUAGCCGACCUGAGAGGGUGAUCGGCCACAUUGGGACUGAGACACGGCCCAAACUCCUACGGGAGGCAGCAGUAGGGAAUCUUCCGCAAUGGACGAAAGUCUGACGGAGCAACGCCGCGUGAGUGAAGAAGGUUUUCGGAUCGUAAAACUCUGUUGUCGGAGAAGAACAAGUAGGAGAGUAACUGUUCCUACCUUGACGGUACCCGACCAGAAAGCCACGGCUAACUACGUGCCAGCAGCCGCGGUAAUACGUAGGUGGCAAGCGUUGUCCGGAUUUAUUGGGCGUA